RNAcentral lists this ribosomal RNA (324 nucleotides) under uncultured bacterium. RNAcentral's name for it is "bacterial SSU rRNA". It matches the Rfam family "Bacterial small subunit ribosomal RNA", at positions 28 to 334 of the family's 1533-position model. The record is from RNAcentral.
GAUGAACGCUGGCGGCGUGCUUAACACAUGCAAGUCGAACGAGAACCAACGGAACGAGGAUUCAUCCAAGGGAAGUUGGGGAAAGUGGCGGACGGGUGAGUAACGCGUGAGCAAUCUGCCUUGGAGUGGGGAAUAACGGCUGGAAACAGCCGCUAAUACCGCAUGAUACAGCUGAAUCGCAUGGUUCUGGCUGUCAAAGAUUUAUCGCUCUGAGAUGAGCUCGCGUCUGAUUAGCUAGUUGGCGGGGCAACGGCCCACCAAGGCGACGAUCAGUAGCCGGACUGAGAGGUUGGCCGGCCACAUUGGGACUGAGACACGGCCCAG